UGCUUAUCUACUUGCCAAUUAGUGGGGGAUUAAAUACCGCAUACUCUGACUUCGGUCAGGAAAGGGUUCCGCAAGGGCCCGCUAAUUGAGAGGGAUAAGGCGUAUUAGCUAGUUGGUGGGGUAAUGGCCUACCAAGGUAAUGAUGCGUAGCCGGCCUAAGAGGGUGAACGGCCACAAGGGAACUGAGACACGGUCCCUACUCCUACGGGAGGCAGAAGGAGGAAACAUUUCGCAAUGGACGCAAGUCUAACGGAGUGAUACUACGUGAAGGACGAAGGUCUACGGAUUGUAAACUUCUUUACUAGUAGGUACUGCUUUCGGGCUUGCCUGCUAGCAAAAAGUCACGACUAACUAUGUGCCAGCAGUCGCGGUAAGACAUAGGUGGCAAACGUUAUCCGGAAUUACUGGGCGUAAAGGGUGCGUAGGUGGUUUAAUAAGUUACUGGUGGGAAAUCGGGGCCCAACCCCGUGGAAGUCAGUAAUACUAUUAAACUAGAGGGCCGGAGAGGUUAACGGAAUUCUAUGUGUAGCGGUAAAAUGCUCAAAUAUAUAGAGGAACACCAAUUGGCGAAGGCAGUUAACUAUUCGGCGCCUGACGUUGAGGCACGAAAGCGUGGGGAGCAAGACGGAUUAGAUACCCGAGUAGUCCACGCCCUAAACGAUGAGUACUAGAUAUUGGGAACUUGAUUUUCAGUGUCGCAAGAUAACUCGGUAAGUACUCCGCCUGGGUAGUACGGUCGCAAGGCUAAAACUCAAAGGAAUUGACGGGAACUCACACAAGCAGUGGAGCAUGUGGUUUAAUCCGAUAUGACGCGUAGAACCUUACCGGGGCUUGACAUGUUCGGCAAAACUAGGGAAACCUAGCGGAGGUUAUCCGGACACAGGUGUUGCAUGGCCAUCGUCAGUUCGUGUUGUGAGAUGUAUGGUUUAGUCCUAUUAACGAACGAAACCCUUGUGCUUAGUUGCUAACAGGUAAGGCUGAGGACUCUAAGCAGACUGCCAAGGCAACUUGGAGGAAGGCGAGGAUCACGUCUGAUCAUC
RNAcentral lists this ribosomal RNA (1040 nucleotides) under Candidatus Moeniiplasma glomeromycotorum. RNAcentral describes it as "bacterial SSU rRNA". It matches the Rfam family "Bacterial small subunit ribosomal RNA", at positions 114 to 1194 of the family's 1533-position model. Lineage: Bacteria; Bacillati; Mycoplasmatota; Mollicutes; Mycoplasmatales; Mycoplasmataceae. The record is from RNAcentral.